RNAcentral lists this ribosomal RNA (429 nucleotides) under Pseudomonadota bacterium. RNAcentral's name for it is "Proteobacteria bacterium partial 16S ribosomal RNA". It matches the Rfam family "Bacterial small subunit ribosomal RNA", at positions 355 to 776 of the family's 1533-position model. The record is from RNAcentral. Lineage: Bacteria; Pseudomonadati; Pseudomonadota.
UGGGGAAUAUUGGACAAUGGGCGAAAGCCUGAUCCAGCCAUGCCGCGUGUGUGAAGAAGGUCUUCGGAUUGUAAAGCACUUUAAGUUGGGAGGAAGGGCAGUAAGCGAAUACCUUGCUGUUUUGACGUUACCGACAGAAUAAGCACCGGCUAACUCUGUGCCAGCAGCCGCGGUAAUACAGAGGGUGCAAGCGUUAAUCGGAAUUACUGGGCGUAAAGCGCGCGUAGGUGGUUCGUUAAGUUGAAUGUGAAAGCCCCGGGCUCAACCUGGGAACUGCAUCCAAAACUGGCGAGCUAGAGUAGGGCAGAGGGUGGUGGAAUUUCCUGUGUAGCGGUGAAAUGCGUAGAUAUAGGAAGGAACACCAGUGGCGAAGGCGACCACCUCGGCUCAUACUGACACUGAGGUGCGAAAGCGUGGGGAGCAAACAGG